RNAcentral lists this long non-coding RNA (574 nucleotides) under Coffea arabica (coffee). RNAcentral's name for it is "long non-coding RNA (CARA_LNC000132)". Lineage: Eukaryota; Viridiplantae; Streptophyta; Magnoliopsida; Gentianales; Rubiaceae. The record is from RNAcentral.
CGCUGGUGUUGCUGUUGCUGCUUCCUGGUGAGCAUGUUGGUUUUACGCUUCGCUUUUCUUUGUUUUUCUCUAAUUCUUCAAAUAUUUCGGAAUUGCUGUCAUACUGCUUUGUUUCUUAUUUCUUGCUUGCUUCUCUGUUUUUCUCAAGCACUGGUUCGAUCAUUUUAAUUUUUUUCUGUCCCUUCAAAAUUAUUAUCACCGAAUCAGCUUCUCUUUUUACUCUCCUAUUUUUUUGUCACCUUUCUUAUUAUCUUUUACAUGAUCGUGGUUUCUUUGAUAGCUUCUGCUAUUAUUCAGUUGUGCGGUGUUGGACUUCUUCAUACACACUGGUUAGUUAUUCCAAUUUUGCUUUUCUUUUACUCUUUUCUCUAUAUUCUAUCCUUUAAUUUGUACAUCCUUGACAUGCAUUUUCUGAUGCAUUAGUACUUGCAUCCUUGACCAUCAAUUGUUACUUUUUUUUGGACCACAAUUUUUUGUGUGAUCUUGUAGAUCACUCACUAUUUUUUCAUCUGACUACUCACAGGUUUUAUCUUCUCACCUUUGUUUUCCCUUUUUUUUUUCUUUUUUUUUUAGU